RNAcentral lists this transfer RNA (385 nucleotides) under uncultured Synechococcus sp. RNAcentral's name for it is "partial may contain 16S ribosomal RNA, 16S-23S ribosomal RNA intergenic spacer, and 23S ribosomal RNA". The stretch from base 95 to 167 matches the Rfam family "tRNA". Lineage: Bacteria; Bacillati; Cyanobacteriota; Cyanophyceae; Synechococcales; Synechococcaceae. The record is from RNAcentral.
AUGAGACUCCUGGGCCAUUAGCUCAGGUGGUUAGAGCGCACCCCUGAUAAGGGUGAGGUCCCUGGUUCAAGUCCAGGAUGGCCCAUUCGGUGUUGGGGGUUUAGCUCAGUUGGUAGAGCGCCUGCUUUGCAAGCAGGAUGUCAGGAGUUCGAGUCUCCUAACCUCCACUGGCCAACCUUGAUUCCCAACUUCAAAUUAUUGGAGAUUUAAUUCGAUUGUGAUGUGUGAUUUAGAUGUGUCCGCUGGAUGACCCCAGCUUCCUGUCAUUCCAAAAAAUGAGUGUUGACUCAGAAAUUGGUUGAUAAGACGCUGGGCUCGAACAAGAGUGUUGAGCGAUCAACAUUUUUGAUUUGAAGUCUAGCAGAACCUUGACAACUGCAUAGGA